CACAAUUAAACACAUAAAAUCCCUUGAGUUUGAUUAGGCAUUUUAGCAACCCACCAAAUUCUCCAAAAAUCCUAGACAUUCCCCCUAUACAUAUAUAUUAAUGACUAAAAGAACAGAUAAACUGAGCUCAAUUUUCUGGAUUGCCAGUAAAAUAAGCAGACGAAAUUUAAAUCUUCCCUGUCAAAUGAGGCAGCGCCAUAUUUUUGGUUCCUGCGCGGAAGAGGUGCACCAUUAGCCAAGGAUUCUCCCCCCUCCCCAGAUCAGAUUCACCACCAUUUAUCCUCC
This 285-nucleotide long non-coding RNA is filed under the name Salvia miltiorrhiza (redroot sage). RNAcentral describes it as "long non-coding RNA (SMIL_LNC003407)". The record is from RNAcentral. Lineage: Eukaryota; Viridiplantae; Streptophyta; Magnoliopsida; Lamiales; Lamiaceae.